UUAGAUUUCAUUUUUCAGCUGGCGGGCAACGUUUGCACAGAAAUGUUUGAUUUUUUGCAUCCUCACCAACCUAAUCUUAAAACUCGUUUAAAUGAUCAUGUGAAGCCUCUGUGCUGCUUUGUAGCCUACAUGCUGCUUUUUGUUUUGAUGACUCAUGCAGCGUUGCGACGUG
Etheostoma cragini (Arkansas darter) is the source of this 172-nucleotide long non-coding RNA. RefSeq lists it as uncharacterized. NCBI's taxonomy places the organism in Eukaryota, Metazoa, Chordata, Actinopteri, Perciformes, Percidae. The transcript has 3 exons. The record is from RefSeq and is a predicted model, not a curated record.